Molecule: ribosomal RNA, 373 nt
Filed under: uncultured organism
Description: bacterial SSU rRNA
Rfam family: Bacterial small subunit ribosomal RNA
Source: RNAcentral
CAGAGGGUGCAAGCGUUGUUCGGAAUUAUUGGGCGUAAAGGGAGUGUAGGCGGCUAGGAAAGUCUUCUGUGAAAUCUACGGGCUCAGCCUGUAACGUGCAGAGGAAACUAUCUGGCUAGAGUGUCGGAGAGGAUAGGGGAAUACCCGGUGUAGAGGUGAAAUUCGUAGAGAUCGGGUGGAACACCAGUGGCGAAGGCGCCUGUCUGGCUGACAACUGACGCUGAGACUCGAAAGCAUGGGGAGCAAACAGGAUUAGAUACCCUGGUAGUCCAUGCCGUAAACGAUGAUAACUAGAUGUGUGAGGUAUUGACCCCUUACGUGUCGAAGCCAACGCGAUAAGUUAUCCGCCUGGGGAGUACGGUCGCAAAGAUUA